CAUGGGCCUGGGACCCAAGCCCAGGGAAAGGGGUGCUGAUAUUCUGCAGGGAUUGGGAAAACUGCUGCCACUGCCAUAGAAGUGCUGCUGGCGAUGGGCACAGGGAGAGGACGGGUGGCCAAGGGGUCUCUGGGAGCAAACUGGAAGGGAGCAUGUCCCUUCUUCCUCUGCCCCGCCCCCACUUCAGCUCACCACUAAGGAGCCCCUCUCUCUCUCCUUCUCCAUCCCUCCCCUCUCUCUCUUUCGCCUUCCCUCCCCUUCUCUCUCUGUCUCUCUGAUUCCCUCCAUCUGUUUCUCCCUCUCUGCCUUUUUGUCUCUGUCUCUCUCUGUCCCCAUCUCACUCUCUCAUCUCUUGAGCACGUGCACAGAUUCUAAUACGGGGCCAGCAGGCAAAGCAGAACCACGUGGCUCACAGCAUCCCAGCCCCAGCAUCCAAAGGCAAGUGGAGAAAGGCAGAGUUGGAGCUGAGAGGCGAUAGCUUAAUAACUGAUACACAAGGUAGGAAAGGCCCUGGACUGGAAAUCAGCAUUCCUGAACCUCAUCCUGCCUCUUCCGCUAACUUGCUGUGUGGCUUGACGUGUGUCAUUUUACUUCUUUAAGCCUCAGUUUCUUCUGCUGGGGAAUGGGACUGAGAGAGGUGCUCUGAACUCCUGCUUCUCAAAUCAGAAGCAUUGGAAUCACUUGGGAGCUUAUUAGAAAUGCAGACAUUCUAAUCCUACCCCGGAUGUCCUGAAUCAGAAUCUGCAUCUUUGCAAGAUUCCCAGUGCCAGGUCAAGUUUGAGAAGCCAUGACUGGGUGACCUUCCUAGCCAGGCUGGUCAGCAUAGCAAGGCCAGGGGUAGAAAUGAGGCUCCUGGUCAGAUGGGUCCAACUUGCCUUGGGAGCUGGCAAGUUGCUAAGCUUCUCUCAACUUCAAUUUCCUCAUUUGAAAAAAGAGAGAGAGAGAGAGAUCCAUGAAAUUCCUAGGUUCCAUGAAACUCACAGGAUCACAGGAAGGAUGCAAAGGCUCCCAACACCAGCAAGGCCUCAAGAUGACUUUGUAGAAUCUGUUGUAGAAUCAGUGCCAGUGUAGGUCAGGACAUAGGGGAGGACUUCCUGGGAGCAACAGUGAAACUGGGCCUCGAUGAAUUUCCAGAACGUGGACUGACAAACCACAGCCCAAGGAGACGGGCAUCUGAAGAGACUUUUUGAAAAAGCCAGAAAUGUCAAACCUUUGUUCUCUUCUCUAGAUCAGACAAGCCUGGGACUAUUUUGUAUUGGUUGUGUGACCUUGAAGUCAUGAUAACUCUUCUGCUGACCUUAAUUCCCACAUCUGUAAAAUGGGAUCAUUUUGUAAUUCUCCCAUGGUGGGCAUGCCUUGUGCCGUCAUUUAUUUUUUAAAGAAUAAUUCCAAUGCUUCUGGCAUGGGGGACAGUACUGGAUGUGCCAUAAUCUGGGAAAGGACCUCUGUGAGAAGGAACAGCAAGAACUUAGCGCAUGCUGCGUCUGAGGUUCUCCAAGCGUGAGCACCGACUAGGUGUAUGUGUGCCCGGUGUAUCUCACUCACUUGCUCAGUGUACACAUGUGGUCACAUCUUUGUUUUUCGAAUUAACUGCUCAAGCCCCCAUCUGCCCUUUUGUGUGUGUGAGUCUUUUUGCCUUUUCUAGGGCCACUCCCGCAGCAUACAGAGGUUCCCAGGAUAGGGGUCCAAUCAGAGCUGCCCAGAGCCACAGCAACAUGGGAUCCAAGCUCACAGCAACGCCAUACCUACUGAGGAAGGUCAGGGAUCGAACCCAUAACCUCAUGGUUCUUAGUCGGAUUCGUUAACCACUGAGCCACAAAGGGAACGCUUCCCACCUUCCCUUCUUAACAGGCUGGUAAGAGACCUGUUUCCUUCCCAGCCAGCCAAGAACUGGGAAGCCUCCAGGGCCGGGAGUGUUAAUGUUGUCACUCCACUGUUGUAAUGACUCACCACUGUCAGAAGGUGGCACUGUUCAACACUACUCCAGCCGCAGCUCCAAGAGGCCAACCCUCUCGUUUCCCUAAACAGAACUGCGCUGCUACUGGGAACCCGUCGUCCCCUCCCUCAGUGGAUGCUUGUCCACCAGACUCCAGGGGCACGCUGUCCUUUAAGGCUUUUGCCAUUUCCACCAGCUCUGGCACCAAGGACACGAUCAUGGGGUCCAUCUGCUGGGUGUCUCUGCCUUCAGAGGGGGUUGGGGAGGGUGGUGUGUCGAGGGCCCUUCUCUCCCCCAGCAGGGCUGGAUUCCUCCGUAAAUUGGCUCCUGCUCCCUCUCAGAUCCUCGGCUUAUCCAGGGAGAGGCAGCUUUGCUUAAGACCUUCUUUUCCCAGGAGGUGGCUGAGCCUGAGUCCAGAGACCCUGCCCAGAACCAAGAUCAGUGCCAAAUCGUCUCGCUUAGGAACUGGAUUUCUGUCUUGCUAGACUGCUGCCCCCUGGAAAGGUUUGGGAGCCUCUGCGUGUGGGUGAUAGUGAGGUCACAGCGGGGCUGGGGUGUUGGGCAUUAGGAGAGUCAUGGGUCAAAGAGGGGGCCCUGAGUCCCACCAAGGCUGGGGAGGGGGAGGGGCAGGCAGGGGACAGCACCUGGCCAGAGUCUGAGCCGUCAGCCUGGUGGGAGGGGCACAGGUCACCCUUCUGUGCUGGGAGGAGGGUGAAGGUGGCGGGGGUGGGGGACAGGGUUUCAAGGAGAGGGACCAAGAGGGCAGAGAAGAGGCCUAAAAGGGUCCCCUGGGUUGGGCAAUUCUAAAGUCAUGCAUGGGGUCCAUUCAAACACUAGGAUCCCCCCAGUUAGGAGGGGGUCACGGGAGCCCAGGAGAGGUUGCCGUGGGACUAGGAGCAGGGAAAUGGGCCUCAGUAUGUGUACCUGACCCAAGGAGCAGACGUAAAGAGAAGCAAGAGUUGGGGGCCAGGAGGCAGGUCCAGAGAAGGCGUUGCUAUUUACAGGAGUACCUGUGAAGACGGGGUAAUUGACUUGAGGGUGGAGACAGGGAAGGAACAGGUAGGGUAGGUUGGCCCCCAUCUUGCCUCAUCAUGUGAUACCAGCUUAAGGAACCUGCAUGAAGCCAGCGGGAAGCCCUGGAGCUGGUGGAGCAGGGACUGUGCUUGGGGAAAAGAGCACCUGGCAGCUUGUUUAUUUCACAUGUGUGGCGGUGGGGAUCUGGGUGUGCUGGAAUGUUUUGAGUCCACUUACCAAAUGAAGACCAGUGAUUUCAUUCAGAUAAACAUUUCUCAAGACUGUCUUCUCCACAACAAGCUGAGUUACGUUACUGUGUGGAUGAAGAAGGGCCGGAAUGCCUUGGACAAAUGUAUUCAUUAACUUGGCCUUGUAGAUAAAGGUGCCUGUUUCUUUUGGGGAAUCAAAAUGUUCUGAUUGGAUUAGAUAGGGUGAUGAUGGCACAAACUUG
This 3401-nucleotide long non-coding RNA is filed under the name Sus scrofa (pig). RNAcentral's name for it is "lncRNA (ENSSSCG00000061579.1)". Lineage: Eukaryota; Metazoa; Chordata; Mammalia; Artiodactyla; Suidae. The record is from RNAcentral.